RNAcentral lists this long non-coding RNA (235 nucleotides) under Phoenix dactylifera (date palm). RNAcentral's name for it is "long non-coding RNA (PDAC_LNC011353)". The record is from RNAcentral. Lineage: Eukaryota; Viridiplantae; Streptophyta; Magnoliopsida; Arecales; Arecaceae.
UCUUCUUCCUCCUCCCAAGCACAAUCAAGGGUUGAUUAAAAGGGAGGAAAUCAGCCAUCAAAAGAAGUCUUUGCAAGGGAGCUAGCACCCCGGAAAGACAAGAGAGCUUUGAUCGGAUCUCUGCUUCGUGUGGAUACCCGUAGAGGCCGGACGUGUGAACGGCUUCAUACGAACCUUCAUCCUAAAACCACGAACUCCAGUUUGCGGUGAUCAUCUACCCGCACAAGGUGAAGAU